UAAGGAAUAUUGGUCAAUGGACGCAAGUCUGAACCAGCCAUGCCGCGUGAAGGAUGAAGGUCCUCUGGAUUGUAAACUUCUUUUAUCUGGGACGAAAACGGGAUUUUUAUCUCAAUUGACGGUACCAGAGGAAUAAGCACCGGCUAACUCCGUGCCAGCAGCCGCGGUAAUACGGAGGGUGCGAGCGUUAUCCGGAUUUACUGGGUUUAAAGGGUGCGUAGGUGGGCUUAUAAGUCAGUGGUGAAAUCUCCGAGCUUAACUUGGAAACUGCCGUUGAUACUAUAGGUCUUGAAUUAUCUGGAGGUAAGCGGAAUAUGUCAUGUAGCGGUGAAAUGCUUAGAUAUGACAUAGAACACCAAUUGCGAAGGCAGCUUACUACAUAUAAAUUGACGCUGAGGCACGAAAGCGUGGGGAUC
This 416-nucleotide ribosomal RNA is filed under the name uncultured bacterium. RNAcentral describes it as "bacterial SSU rRNA". It matches the Rfam family "Bacterial small subunit ribosomal RNA", at positions 355 to 769 of the family's 1533-position model. The record is from RNAcentral.